This 96-nucleotide ribosomal RNA is filed under the name Antipathes atlantica. Its description in RNAcentral is "partial 5.8S ribosomal RNA". It matches the Rfam family "5.8S ribosomal RNA", at positions 1 to 95 of the family's 154-position model. From Rfam's summary of the family: 5.8S ribosomal RNA (5.8S rRNA) is a component of the large subunit of the eukaryotic ribosome. It is transcribed by RNA polymerase I as part of the 45S precursor that also contains 18S and 28S rRNA. Functionally, it is thought that 5.8S rRNA may be involved in ribosome translocation. Lineage: Eukaryota; Metazoa; Cnidaria; Anthozoa; Antipatharia; Antipathidae. The record is from RNAcentral.
CMACUUUUAACGGUGGAUCUCUUGGCUCGUGCAUCGAUGAAGAACGCAGCCAGGUGCGAUAAGUAGUGUGAAUUGCAGAAUUCAGUGAAUCAUCGA